GCUCCUGUGGCGCAAUCGGUUAGCGAGCGGUACUUAUAAUGCCGAGGUUGUGAGUUCGAGCCUCACCUGGAGCA
This 74-nucleotide transfer RNA is filed under the name Dallia pectoralis (Alaska blackfish). Its description in RNAcentral is "tRNA-OTHER". It matches the Rfam family "tRNA". From Rfam's summary of the family: Transfer RNA (tRNA) molecules are approximately 80 nucleotides in length. Their secondary structure includes four short double-helical elements and three loops (D, anti-codon, and T loops). Further hydrogen bonds mediate the characteristic L-shaped molecular structure. tRNAs have two regions of fundamental functional importance: the anti-codon, which is responsible for specific mRNA codon recognition, and the 3' end, to which the tRNAs corresponding amino acid is attached (by aminoacyl-tRNA synthetases). tRNAs cope with the degeneracy of the genetic code in two manners: having more than one tRNA (with a specific anti-codon) for a particular amino acid; and 'wobble' base-pairing, i.e. permitting non-standard base-pairing at the 3rd anti-codon position. Lineage: Eukaryota; Metazoa; Chordata; Actinopteri; Esociformes; Umbridae. The record is from RNAcentral.